Achroia grisella is the source of this 1009-nucleotide long non-coding RNA. RefSeq lists it as uncharacterized. The transcript is spliced from 3 exons. Lineage: Eukaryota; Metazoa; Arthropoda; Insecta; Lepidoptera; Pyralidae. The record is from RefSeq and is a predicted model, not a curated record.
CUAAUGGAAUCCUUUUUCUAGAGUAUACAACUACAGUGCUUUUAGAUGGGGAUAGAUCUAGACCAUUAUUAUCUAGCCAUUUUUUAAGAAAUUGUAAUGCUGCAGAAAGGGAAUCGCUAAUCUCGUUAAUUAAUCGGCCGGCAACAUAGAAAAGCAAAUCGUCCGCAUAUUGCAGAACUUUUACACAUUUAUUUAUGGAUACUUCUAAAUCAAUAGUAUAAAUGUUGUAAAGAAUUGGACUCAUUACGGAACCCUGAGUAUCAGGAUAUUAACAUUAUCAUAAGCUGCGGUUAUAUCUAGAAAACCAGCUAUUACAGAGUCAUUUCUAGAAAACGCUAAUCUAAUAUCUGUGACAAAAAUCCCCAAACUGUCAAAAGUGCUCUUACCUUUCCUAAAUCCUAGCUGACUAUCUGAGAAUAAUCCAUUGUGUUCCAAAAACCAUUCGAGGCGAUUUUUUAUUAAAUGUUCCGAUAUUUUCGCCAAUACAGUAGAUAGAGCUAUGGGACGAUAUGAUGAAGGUUCGGAACUUGGUUUAUCUGGCUUUAGUAACAAGAUUAAAGUUUGUGUUCUCCAAGAACUGGGAAUAUUACCUGAUGUCAUAGCUGUGUUGAUUAAAGAGAGAUAAUAAUUAAGAGCAUCUUCGUCUAAAUGUACUAUAAAAGAGUAUGGAAUGCCGUCUUCACCAGGCGCCGAGUCUUUAAUAACAGAAAGUACACCUUUUAAUUCAUUGACAGUGAAGGAUGAAUUAAGAUCAAAUGUAGAAUCAUUAUUAUUAACUAUUUCUGUAUUAAUAGUUAAAGGAUUUACAUGGAGCUGUUCUGGAACGAAAGUUGUACCAGUUGGCAUUACUUAAUUUAUACCUCAUACGGGGCUGUUUCAUCUGCUGCAAGGGUUUUGAAAAAGGAAAAGUAAUUAAUAAUGGAUAAUGAUCACUAUUAUAACUAUAGUUAAGCGGACACCAAACAAGAGAUGAAGCAAGAUCUGGUGUACAUAUCGAUAAGUCUGGUGA